UGGGGAAUAUUGCACAAUGGGCGCAAGCCUGAUGCAGCAACGCCGCGUGAGGGAUGACGGCCUUCGGGUUGUAAACCUCUUUUAGCAGGGAAGAAGCGAGAGUGACGGUACCUGCAGAAAAAGCACCGGCUAACUACGUGCCAGCAGCCGCGGUAAUACGUAGGGUGCAAGCGUUAUCCGGAAUUAUUGGGCGUAAAGAGCUCGUAGGCGGUUUGUCGCGUCUGCUGUGAAAUUCCGAGGCUCAACCUCGGGCUUGCAGUGGGUACGGGCAGACUAGAGUGCGGUAGGGGAGAUUGGAAUUCCUGGUGUAGCGGUGGAAUGCGCAGAUAUCAGGAGGAACACCGAUGGCGAAGGCAGAUCUCUGGGCCGUAACUGACGCUGAGGAGCGAAAGGGUGGGGAGCAAACA
This 407-nucleotide ribosomal RNA is filed under the name uncultured Microbacterium sp. Its description in RNAcentral is "bacterial SSU rRNA". It matches the Rfam family "Bacterial small subunit ribosomal RNA", at positions 355 to 774 of the family's 1533-position model. Lineage: Bacteria; Bacillati; Actinomycetota; Actinomycetes; Micrococcales; Microbacteriaceae. The record is from RNAcentral.